GAGGCAAAUUCAGGAACCAAGCUUACUCUUGGAUUAGGUGUCAUGAAUAGAUCUGCACCUGUCCUGUGGGGUUGAUCCGCACCUGCUUUGGGCUGACAAUAACUGACCAAAUAAGUAAAGAGUGAACAAAAUCUAGCGGUGGUGGACAG
Molecule: long non-coding RNA, 149 nt
Organism: Bufo bufo (common toad)
Lineage: Eukaryota; Metazoa; Chordata; Amphibia; Anura; Bufonidae
Exons: 4
Source: RefSeq, a predicted model, not a curated record